GUGACUGUUCCUGGUAUCGAUUACACUCCAAAAACAGAAGGUUCCUGCCGACAGGAUCUGUAUAGUUAGAUUUUCAGUGCUAUGGGUUUACAUG
This 94-nucleotide non-coding RNA is filed under the name Carlito syrichta (Philippine tarsier). Lineage: Eukaryota; Metazoa; Chordata; Mammalia; Primates; Tarsiidae. The record is from RNAcentral.